GUGGGGAAUUUUGGACAAUGGGCGAAAGCCUGAUCCAGCAAUGCCGCGUGCAGGAUGAAGGCCCUCGGGUUGUAAACUGCUUUUGUACGGAACGAAAAGCCUGGGGCUAAUAUCCCCGGGUCAUGACGGUACCGUAAGAAUAAGCACCGGCUAACUACGUGCCAGCAGCCGCGGUAAUACGUAGGGUGCAAGCGUUAAUCGGAAUUACUGGGCGUAAAGCGUGCGCAGGCGGUUUUGUAAGACAGUGGUGAAAUCCCCGGGCUCAACCUGGGAACUGCCAUUGUGACUGCAAGGCUAGAGUGCGGCAGAGGGGGAUGGAAUUCCGCGUGUAGCAGUGAAAUGCGUAGAUAUGCGGAGGAACACCGAUGGCGAAGGCAAUCCCCUGGACCUGUACUGACGCUCAUGCACGAAAGCGUGGGGAGCAAACAGGAUUAGAAACCCUGGUAGUCC
RNAcentral lists this ribosomal RNA (450 nucleotides) under uncultured bacterium. RNAcentral's name for it is "partial 16S ribosomal RNA". It matches the Rfam family "Bacterial small subunit ribosomal RNA", at positions 354 to 796 of the family's 1533-position model. The record is from RNAcentral.